GUUGACCUCGGAUCAGGUAGGGAUACCCGCUGAAC
This 35-nucleotide ribosomal RNA is filed under the name Cladosporium cladosporioides. Its description in RNAcentral is "partial 28S ribosomal RNA". The record is from RNAcentral. RNAcentral also lists the same sequence under 24 other names. Lineage: Eukaryota; Fungi; Ascomycota; Dothideomycetes; Cladosporiales; Cladosporiaceae.